RNAcentral lists this ribosomal RNA (429 nucleotides) under uncultured bacterium. RNAcentral describes it as "bacterial SSU rRNA". It matches the Rfam family "Bacterial small subunit ribosomal RNA", at positions 29 to 506 of the family's 1533-position model. The record is from RNAcentral.
GCGAACGCUGGCGGCAGGCUUAACACAUGCAAGUCGAGCGCCCCGCAAGGGGAGCGGCAGACGGGAGAGUAACACGUGGGAACGUACCUUUCAGUUCGGGACAACCAAGGGAAACUUUGGCUAAUACCGGAUACGCCCGUAAGGGGAAAGAUUUAUCGCUGAAAGAUCGGCCCGCGUCUGAUUAGCUAGUUGGUGAGGUAAUGGCUCACCAAGGCUACGAUCAGUAGCUGGUCUGAGAGGAUGAUCAGCCUCACUGGGACUGAGACACGGCCCAGACUCCUACGGGAGGCAGCAGUGGGGAAUAUUGGACAAUGGGCGCAAGCCUGAUCCAGCCAUGCCGCGUGAGUGAUGAAGGCCUUAGGGUUGUAAAGCUCUUUCGUCAGGGAAGAUAAUGACGGUACCUGAAGAAGAAGCCCCGGCUAACUUCGU